This 285-nucleotide unclassified non-coding RNA is filed under the name Glomeraceae sp. RNAcentral's name for it is "partial internal transcribed spacer 2". The stretch from base 1 to 71 matches the Rfam family "5.8S ribosomal RNA", at positions 84 to 154 of the family's 154-position model. The record is from RNAcentral. Lineage: Eukaryota; Fungi; Glomeromycota; Glomeromycetes; Glomerales; Glomeraceae.
GUGAAUCAUCGAAUUUUUGAACGCAAAUUGCACUCCCUGUUAUUCCUGGGAGUAUGCCUGUGUGAGGAUCGUUAGAAUAAAAAAUCGAGGCGUCGCUCUUUUGUUUAAGGGUGAUCGCGUCUGAAUAGAGCCGUCUUUCAAAUGUUAAUUCAUGUCAAAGUUUCUUAAAAUUCAUCCAUCCGUUACGAUUAAAGCGUAUUUAAGUUCAUUUUUGAUUAAUAACGCUCGAUGACGUACCAUCGCAUGGAUUACGGUUGACCUGAUUUAUCAGGUUUAUUCUUAUAC